GUAAAGAACUGUGUGUUGUUGAAGACUGUUUUCUCCAAAUCCUCCAAAAUGUCCAUGAUCAUCAAGAGGCUGGGGAGAGGAGUGUGGAUUCAGGAACCUGAGGUAUCCAACACCCACGUUCUGGGUUUCUACAUUGAUGUGAGAUAAAAAAGCAUCAAGAAGGUAAAUGAAAUGGGCAGAAAGAGUAAGAAAAAUUGGAAACACUUGACUGUGGUUAGCUUGGUCUGCCUGGAGAUAACAGAGUGUAUGGCUUACAGUGGGAACCUUGACCUAACCAAGCUAUGACCUCUUUCUUCAUAACAAAAUAAUUUCCUCCAUGUGUAUUAAAGUAUACAAAUUAUGUACUGAAAGAGGAUGGAGGCUAUUCCUAUCAACAAAUCAAAUUACCCAGCAAUUUAUUCCCACUAGGUACAUAGUGACACUAAUGGGGCUCGAUGAACCACACCUCUCGGAAGCAAUGCCCUCAUGUGGUGAUUGUGUCUUCCAACACAGACACUGGGCUUGGCCAGGUGAUUUGGUUUGGUCAACAGGACAUCAGCAAACACACGGCAAACAGAAGCUUGAUAUACAUUUACACAGUGUAGUUUGCACUUUUAAAUGUUGCCGCCACCUCUUUAUGAGGCUUGGACUAGCUUCCUUUGGGAUGAAAGAUCACACGGAGAGAAGAGUCCAGCUGUCCUGGCUCCCCCACGGAGCCCAGCCCUCAAUAAUCCUCCGGUCAAAGACAGCUGCUCUUGUGAGUCUGGGUGACAUCAGCAGAAGAACCAGAGUCAUGAGAAAUAAUAAAUCAUUAUUGUUUUACACUAGUAAAAUCUGGGGUGAUUUGUUA
RNAcentral lists this long non-coding RNA (829 nucleotides) under Vulpes vulpes (red fox). Its description in RNAcentral is "lncRNA (ENSVVUG00000022330.1)". The record is from RNAcentral. Lineage: Eukaryota; Metazoa; Chordata; Mammalia; Carnivora; Canidae.